This 91-nucleotide transfer RNA is filed under the name Clostridiaceae bacterium. RNAcentral's name for it is "tRNA-Ser". It matches the Rfam family "tRNA". Rfam says of the family: Transfer RNA (tRNA) molecules are approximately 80 nucleotides in length. Their secondary structure includes four short double-helical elements and three loops (D, anti-codon, and T loops). Lineage: Bacteria; Bacillati; Bacillota; Clostridia; Eubacteriales; Clostridiaceae. The record is from RNAcentral.
GGAGAAGUACCCAAGAGGCCGAAGGGGACGGUUUGCUAAACCGUUAGUAGGGGCAACUCUAGCGAGGGUUCGAAUCCCUCCUUCUCCGCCA